Molecule: transfer RNA, 84 nt
Filed under: Candidatus Woesearchaeota archaeon
Lineage: Archaea; Nanobdellati; Candidatus Woesearchaeota
Description: tRNA-Leu
Rfam family: tRNA
About the family: Transfer RNA (tRNA) molecules are approximately 80 nucleotides in length. Their secondary structure includes four short double-helical elements and three loops (D, anti-codon, and T loops). Further hydrogen bonds mediate the characteristic L-shaped molecular structure. tRNAs have two regions of fundamental functional importance: the anti-codon, which is responsible for specific mRNA codon recognition, and the 3' end, to which the tRNAs corresponding amino acid is attached (by aminoacyl-tRNA synthetases). tRNAs cope with the degeneracy of the genetic code in two manners: having more than one tRNA (with a specific anti-codon) for a particular amino acid; and 'wobble' base-pairing, i.e. permitting non-standard base-pairing at the 3rd anti-codon position.
Source: RNAcentral
GCGGGAUUGCCGGAGUGGUCAAACGGGAACGGUUCAGGGCCGUUUAGCUUAGUGCUUUCGCAGGUUCGAAUCCUGCAUCCCGCA